Molecule: long non-coding RNA, 252 nt
Filed under: Lathyrus oleraceus (garden pea)
Lineage: Eukaryota; Viridiplantae; Streptophyta; Magnoliopsida; Fabales; Fabaceae
Description: Pisum sativum (pea) long non-coding RNA (PSAT_LNC019430)
Source: RNAcentral
AAAAGUUAACAAAAGAAAAAACUUACAUAUGUUGCAAUGUUUGCAACCGUUCCUCUAUGUGCUUCGCCCAUUGUGAGGAUAGACAUUUUGUCGGGGGGUUGGUGUAGAUGAAACUAUAAGAAGUUGUUGUAGAUGAAAUUGUAGAAGAAGUAUUGUAGAAGAAGUAGUGAGAGUGAUGGUGUGGAAGAAGUGUUGGUGGAGUGGAUGUAUUUAUAGGCAAAUGGAUGGGAGCAUAAAAAGUUGUGCUUGCAU